AGAGUUUGUAUCCUGGCGUCAGGAGUGAACGCUGGCGGCGUGCCUAACACAUGCAAGUCGAACGGGCGCGGCGGUGCGGCAGGGGCCGUCGGCCCCUCGCGGCGUCGCGCGAGUGGCGGACGGGUGAGUAACGCGUGGGCAACCUGCCCUGUACUGGGGGAGUAACACCUGGAAACAAGGUGCUAAUACCGCAUAAGCGCGCUGUGCCGCAUGGCGCGGCGCGGAAAACCCCGGUGGUACAGGAUGGGCCCGCGUCUGAUUAGCUGGUUGGCAGGGUAACGGCCUACCAAGGCGACGAUCAGUAGCCGGCCUGAGAGGGUGGACGGCCACACUGGGACUGAGACACGGCCCAGACUCCUACGGGAGGCAGCAGUGGGGGAUAUUGCACAAUGGGGGGGAACCCUGAUGCAGCGACGCCGCGCGGGUGAAGGAGCGUUUCGGCGCGUAAAGCCCUAUCGGCAGGGAAGAAGAUGACGGUACCUGACCAAGAAGCCCCGGCUAACUACGUG
Molecule: ribosomal RNA, 509 nt
Filed under: uncultured Eubacteriales bacterium
Lineage: Bacteria; Bacillati; Bacillota; Clostridia; Eubacteriales
Description: bacterial SSU rRNA
Rfam family: Bacterial small subunit ribosomal RNA
Source: RNAcentral